UAGAUUUUGCUCAUUCUGUCCUUUUCCUGUCCACCUUCCUCUCUAAAGGGUAAGCUGCAAGACAUCAGCUGCUGGUCCAGGGGGCUCCCAAGGAGCAGGCCCUGUCUCACGUCCUGCUCUCCUGCAGGAUGUCCUGCAGGCCCCAGGGAAACUCAGCUGUAUCCAAAGGCACAGAUGGAUUCAGAAAUCCUUGGUUUGCAGAGCAGACUUUUGCCAGGUCUUGCUUAACAUCCUCAGGACUCACCUGAGCCAGGCUGGCUCCAUGAAGACUUUGUGGUCAAGACUGACAAUCCUGUGCCAUGCACAGAACCUCCUUUAAGCAGGGUAUCACCAUGGCAACAGGGCAGACUUGGCUGCACAUGUGCACAGGAAGUUCCCAGCGCAGGGGUGCAGCUCCUGCUGUAGGACCAUCAGAGAGAUGACGAUUCAAAUCACCAUUCCUAACAGGUAACCACAAAAUGUAUUCUGUCAAUCUUAAGUAAAGAUGCAGUUAUUUUGUAAUGUUUUCCAUCCAUGGUUGGUUGAAUUGGCAGAUUUGGAACUCAUGAAUUAGGAGGAGCAACUA
This 565-nucleotide long non-coding RNA is filed under the name Ictidomys tridecemlineatus (thirteen-lined ground squirrel). RNAcentral's name for it is "lncRNA (ENSSTOG00000033706.1)". Lineage: Eukaryota; Metazoa; Chordata; Mammalia; Rodentia; Sciuridae. The record is from RNAcentral.